CCUACGGGAGCCUGCAGUGGGGAAUAUUGGACAAUGGGCGAAAGCCUGAUCCAGCCAUGCCGCGUGUGUGAAGAAGGCCUUCGGGUUGUAAAGCACUUUCAGUGGGGAAGAAAGCCUUGGGGCUAAUACCCUCGAGGAAGGACAUCACCCACAGAAGAAGCACCGGCUAACUCCGUGCCAGCAGCCGCGGUAAUACGGAGGGUGCGAGCGUUAAUCGGAAUUACUGGGCGUAAAGCGCGCGUAGGCGGUCUGAUAAGCCGGUUGUGAAAGCCCCGGGCUCAACCUGGGAACGGCAUCCGGAACUGUCAGGCUAGAGUGCAGGAGAGGAAGGUAGAAUUCCCGGUGUAGCGGUGAAAUGCGUAGAGAUCGGGAGGAAUACCAGUGGCGAAGGCGGCCUUCUGGACUGACACUGACGCUGAGGUGCGAAAGCGUGGGUAGCAAACAGGAUUAGAUACCCCUGUAGUC
RNAcentral lists this ribosomal RNA (465 nucleotides) under Vreelandella stevensii. RNAcentral's name for it is "partial 16S ribosomal RNA". It matches the Rfam family "Bacterial small subunit ribosomal RNA", at positions 338 to 795 of the family's 1533-position model. The record is from RNAcentral. Lineage: Bacteria; Pseudomonadati; Pseudomonadota; Gammaproteobacteria; Oceanospirillales; Halomonadaceae.